CUCUUAUCAAGAGAGGUGGAGGGAUGUGCCCAAUGAAGCCCGGCAACCGUCAGCGUACUCGCUGAAAUGGUGCCAAUUCACACAAAGCGUCUGCUUUGAGAGAUAAGAG
Non-coding RNA from Geobacillus sp. WCH70, 109 nucleotides. The record is from Rfam. Lineage: Bacteria; Bacillati; Bacillota; Bacilli; Caryophanales; Anoxybacillaceae.